RNAcentral lists this transfer RNA (82 nucleotides) under Toxocara canis (dog roundworm). It matches the Rfam family "tRNA". Rfam says of the family: Transfer RNA (tRNA) molecules are approximately 80 nucleotides in length. Their secondary structure includes four short double-helical elements and three loops (D, anti-codon, and T loops). Lineage: Eukaryota; Metazoa; Nematoda; Chromadorea; Rhabditida; Toxocaridae. The record is from Rfam by way of RNAcentral.
GCUGGGAUCUCCGACUGGUUAAGAAGUUUGACCCGAAAUCAAAUGCGCUCUGCCCGCAUAGGUUCGAAUCCUGUUCGCUGCG